RNAcentral lists this long non-coding RNA (19295 nucleotides) under Triticum aestivum (bread wheat). Its description in RNAcentral is "long non-coding RNA (TAES_LNC014612)". Lineage: Eukaryota; Viridiplantae; Streptophyta; Magnoliopsida; Poales; Poaceae. The record is from RNAcentral.
UUUUUUUUCGUUCUGGUGAUUUUAACAUUAUCCAGAGACUAACUAGUUUUACAGGAAGCCCCUUAAACUUCAUGCAUAUUUUAACUCACAAACUAAGCAUCACAUGUAAAAACUUAAUAUAUGAAACUUGCUUAGAAUUUUGUCUAGUUUCAUAAUUUUCCAUUUUCAUCCAUGCUUAAAAUGUAUAAAAUGUUGUUUGGUUAAAUUUGCUCCUAUGUUAUGUUAAAAUGCUUUAUUUCAUAACUAAAUAACCGUAGCUCCAAACCUAAUAAACUUUAUAUGUAAAUGAGGUAGAAAAUGACUAGUUUAACAUGGUGGCAUCACUUUGCAUGUUUAACAACUCUAAAAUUGUGUUUAGGGCAGAACAAUACCAAACCUAAUAUAUGCAUAUGGGGAUUUACCGGAAUUGUUGUUUUGUUGUUCCGGCCUCAUUUAAACUUGCCUAGAUUAGAUAGUUUCAUCAUGCUUCACCUCUUGCCAUGCUAACAACAUAUAAUCUUGUUAGGUACAUAAACGAGAGAGAACUAAAUAAGUCAUGUGGUGUUUUCUUCAAUAUGCAACUCCGUUGCAUAAUGAGCUCCCCUUAAUUUGUAGGAUUGUUUGUGCACUUUGCCAUGCCAUGCCUCAUUAAACCGGACAUGCAUCAUACUUGUUUGCGCAUCGUGCCAUGCUUACGUGGUGGUUGUUUACCAUGUUGUUUGCUUCUUUUCGGUAUGCUUCUUCGGGUUGGUACCGAUAACAUCAUGUUUGUGAGGACCCAUUCGACUACGCCCGUUUGUCUUCUUCAUGGACUCGUUCUUCUUCCUUGCGGGAUUUCAGGCAAGAUGACCAUACCCUCGAAAUCACUUCUAUCUUUGCUUGCUAGUUGCUCGCUCUUUUGCUAUGCCUAUGAUGCGAUACCUACCACUUGCUUAUCAUGCCUCCCAUAUUGUUGAACCAAGCCUCUAACCCACCUUGUCCUAGCAAACCGUUGUUUGGCUAUGUUACCGCUUUGCUUAGCCCCUCUUAUAGUGUUGUUAGUUGCAGGUGAAGAUUGGAGUUUAUUCCAUGUUGGAACAUGGAUAUUUUGUUGGGAUAUCACAAUAUCUCUUAUUUAAUUAAUGCAUCUAUAUACUUGGUAAAGGGUGGAAGGCUCGGCCUUAUGCCUGGUGUUUUGUUCCACUCUUGCCGCCCUAGUUUCCGUCAUAUCGGUGUUAUGUUCCUGGAUUUUGUGUUCCUUAUGCAGUUGGGUUAUAAUGGGAACCCCUUGAUAGUUUGCCUUGAAUAAAACUCCUCCAGCAAUGCCCAACCUUGGUUUUACCUUUUGCCACCUAGCCUUUUCUUUCCCUUGGGUUCUGUAGACUCAAGGGUCAUCAUUAUUUUAACCCCCCGGGCUAGUGCUCCUCUGAGUGUUGGUCCAAGCUAGAGCCCCUUGCAGCGCCACCUUGGGGAAACUCGAGGGCUGGUUUUAGUUGUACGGACUGCUCAUCUGAGUGUGCCCUGAGAACGAGAUAUGUGCAGCUCCUAUCGGGAUUUGUCGGCACAUUCGGGCGGUGUUGCUGGACUUGUUUUACCAUUGUCGAGGAUGUCUUGUAACCGGGAUUCCGAGCCUGAUCGGGUCUUCCCGCUAGAAGGAAUAUCCUUCGUUGACUGUGAGAGCUUGUGAUGGGCUAAGUUGGGACACCCCUGUAGGGAUUUGAACUUUCGAAAGCCGUGCCCGCGGUUAUGGGCAUAUGGGAAUUUGUUAACGUCCGGUUGUAGAAAACCUGAAGUUGACCUUAAUUAAAAUGCAUCAACCGCGUGUGUAACCGUGAUGGUCUCUUUUCGGCGGAGUCCGGGAAGUGAACACCGUGUUGGAGUUAUGUUUGACGUAGGUUGUUCUAGGAUCACUUCUUGAUCAUAGUUUCUCGAUCGUGCUUUGCCUUCUCUUCUCGCUCUCAUUUGCGUAUGUUAGCCACCAUAUAUGCUAGUCGCUUGCUGCAGCUCCACCUCAUACUUUUACCUUACCCAUAAGCUUAAAUAGUCUUGAUCGCGAGGGUGUGAGAUUGCCGAGUCCCCGUGACUCACAGAUACUUCCAAAACCAGCUUGCAGGUGCCGAUGAGUCCGUGCAGGUGACGCCACUGAGCUCAGGAGGAUCUCGAUGAAGAUCUUGUCCUUUGUGUUGUUCCGUUUCCAGUUGAUCAGUAGUGGAGCCCAGUUGGGGUCGAUCAGGGGACCUUGUCGCUUUUGGGGUUCUUCUUUUAUUUUGGUUCCCUAGUCGGACCUUGAUUGUAUCUGGAUGGUGUAAUGCUUUAUUCAUGUGUUGUGUGAAGUGGCGAUUGUAAGCCAACUAUGUAUCUUUUCCCUUAUGUAUUACAUGGGUUGUGUGAAGAUUACCUCACUUGCGACAUUGCUUUCAAUGCGGUUAUGCCUCUAAGUCGUGCUUCGACACGUGGGAGAUAUAGCCGCAUCGAGGGCGUUAUAAGUUGGUAAUCAGAGCCUUCCCCGACCUUAGGAGCCCCCUGCUUGAUCAAAUCACUGGCGUUAUUGAGUCUAGAAAUGUUUUGAGUCAUUUAGGAAUUAUAUAUAUCGGAGAGUUAGGACUUCUUUUUACUCCUCAGUCCCUUCGUCGCUCUGGUGAGGCAUCCCGACGUAGAGUUUUGACUCUUCUCUUCUCAAAUUUCACUAAAAAAAUUUAGGAUCACGCGGGUAUCUUGGAAUCGUUCCGAUGGUUUUGUGACGAGAACAUUGUUCUUGGUGCCUCCUGACAUCUAGGGGUUGUGGCAGUGUCCUGGGGAGUUGAGCUCCGAGGUGUUGUCGUCACAAUUUUAUCGUUACAGUUCUGGAAUACCUGAGUUUAAUUCGCCGACAUCGAAAAUCUCAUUUAUGCAGUUGUUGGUGAGAUAACCUCGACGCCACCCAGUACUGGGGCGGGAGUUUGGGAGUAUCGCCAUAACUUGUAUAACGGAUGCUUUUCGAAGGUUGAGGUAAACGAUUUCCGAAGGUUUCUUGGUUAUGUGUUGAAGGAUGAAUACAGCUGGAUGUAGGAUUUGUUAGUUUUGGGUGAGAUAUUAUGCUUCCCCUGUAUCCCCAACACCUGAUUGCAUAACCGGAAAAUUUUGGGAGUUUAUAAGUGGGAAUUCAAGUAGCUCUUAGGAUAUCUUUCCGACAGAUGUAUGAUAUGAAAUUGGGGUUCGACGUAUAGUGGUCCGCCUAUCCACGGUUGGUUUUACAGUGGUCUCGUUGUGUCUUAAAGAGUCCUUGGCUAUGCCGACUCAGGGACGCUUCAUAUGUCAUGUGCACUACCUUGUACAUGAUGGUGAUGUACGAUCGAGCCCGUGUAGGCCCCACCACGAAAACUUUGGACGAAAUCUCUAUCAUAUGUUUGUUCCGGCUUAUUUUGCAAGCCAAUCCUUUGUUUUGUUUUGAGUUGUGGUAUUCGAGUUGCUUCAAUGUCAAGUGUUGAUUCCAUACCUUCCCCAAAUGGUGUUCUCAUACUCCGAUGUGGAUACCAAUCCUUCUUGAUCAUCAAGAUUGUCUUGUCAAUCCUUUUCACCGGCGUGUUUUCUCUUCAAGUGGAUCCGAUCAUUUCAACAUCAGCAAGAUCAAUUAUCAUUUCUUCUCAACGGUGUUCGUUUCAUUCUCAACAGUGUUUUCCCACCCUCCCACCCUUAUUUUCUUCAAGGAACCAGAUUUCUUAUUCAAGUAUCAUUUUAAUGUUGUGAAGUCUUUCCAUCCUUUUCCUUCAAUGUUCUUAUCCAGUGAUUCUCAUGAAGAUACUAAUGGAGCUUCAAGUUCGUCAUUCUUCAUUCUUUUCUUCUCCGGUGGAUUCAAAUCAAGCUUUUUUGUUGAUCAUAUCCUUUUUUCUCUCGUUUCAAAUACCUUCUCAUGCCGGUGCACCUCAUAAUAAUUCACUUCUCGCUAUUCAUUUGUUCGGGAGUGCUGAAGAUAUCUCAGAAGGCUCAUCUUGUCUUUCAAGAUCAGUUCAACCUAUUUCGAGGUUGUUAUCUCAUUCUAGCCAUUUAAAUCUUACCGGUGCUUUCUUUUUUUUGAAUCGUUCUACGGUGUUUCUUUUGAGUGGGCCCUAACCCAUAGGUCUUUUCCCAGGAUCUUACCUGACUCUUCUAAUUUUAUCGGAGCUAUCCUAAAUUCAUUUCAAAUUUGACGUAAGAAUGAUUCAUCAUCUGUCAUAUGUUUUUCUCCAAGAUCUUUCAAAUUCUUUUCAUCUUUGGCUCAACCUCUCCUCUUUUCUUCAUUCCAGAGUGUCUAAAUAAUUCAUGGUGGUGCUUCUCGUCGUCAUUCUCGGAUUUUGAAGACCGAAGAAGAGUUUCUCUUUAAUCUUGCUCCAUUAUCUUCAAGAUUCAUGGUGCUAACCUUAUGCCGUCCUCUCAUAAUUGUUUUCGAUUAUGGGAAUUCUUUUCACCUAUCCGGAGCAAUUCAAGAGUCUUCUCAGUUUGUUAUCUGGAGUCCAUCAAUUCAGGGUUUUUUUCUUUUCAUUCUCAGCUUUCAGUUAUCAUCCUCCAAUUUUACCGGUGCAUCAUUCAAGUAUUUUCUUAUCAGCUCUUGAUCUCUUCGUUAUCUUGUAUCUAAAUUUCCUGAAGUAUCUUUGUUCGUUUUCAAUUUCUUACCGGUGAUUCAUCUCUUUUCUUCGUUCAUUUUAAUUCUUACGGUGGUUCGCUCAAGAUUCUUCUUCCUUCAUUUAUCAUAUCAAUUUAUUCGUUGUUUCAAUUCUUACGGUGGUUCGUUGAAGAUCUUCCGAAGUUUGUGCUAUAUCUAUCUUAAUCCGUUCUACGAGAAUAAGUAAUAUGUCAAAUCCGUUGAUUGUCAUCAAUUCAAUUGGUGAAGGGUAAGCACAAUGUAAUUCUUAUUCUUGUUUCAUCGGGUGAACUAAAUUCCCUAUUCCGAAGGCUCAUCAAAUUCCUGAUUUCAAUUGUUUCAUCUUCUCUUUUUCCCGGAGUUCCAAGUUCUUUCAAUUACCUCGUCACGGAGAUCCAUCUAAAUCAUUACAAAUUUUCACCUUGUGUUUUCAACUUUUUUUCCUUCCGUUUGAUCAUUCCUUUGUUUACCGGAGUUCUUCAUGGAGGCUCGACAUGAUGGUUCAUCAAGGAUUUAUAUUCCUUCUCGAAGUGUUCGUCGAGAUUCUUUUCUAAGGAGCUCAAGUUUUCUUCUUCUUGCAAUCCGGAGUGCAAUUUCUUUCUACCAUAUUAUUGGAGGUGGUAUUAUGUCAUUCUUGAUAAUUUGAGUUCAUGUUUCAUGAUUCACAUAUUGUCAAGGAUGAGAUAUUUUAAAUCCAUCAAUCUCGUCAUUCGAUUUAUCUUGGGUUAUAUUUCACCUAAAGCUUUCCUUUAAGGAUUGUCGCUCUUAUGGUGUUUAUCAAUGAUCCAAGUUCUUCAUUUAUCCUCCCGGUGAGAUAGCUUCUCGUCUCCUUGUUCUUAUCAAUCCAAUUCUUUUUCCCGUGAGUGGCAGGUUGUCACCUCAUAAUUGGAGAUGUAUUCCAUAAGACCAUAUCAAUCUUAUUCCUUUAGUUGUUGGUUUUUUCCAACAACUCCGUUCGACCCUUCUCCUAAGGAUACCUUUUCAAGCUCUUUUGUAGCAGAAGUUGGCAUUUUCUUCUACAUUCUUUUGUCUCAAUUAUCUUUAUUCUAUUCUUUCUCCUGGAGGUCUAGUGAUGUUACUCUUUUCACUCCUCAUCUCGGUUUGUCAAGAUCAUGUUCAAUUUCUUCCAUUUACAGUCGAAGUGCUGUCCAAAUUAUAUCAGUCUUAUUCCUUCUCUAUCUUGUGUAACCGGAGUGUCGUGUCCUCUGCUCAAGUUCUUUUCACCGUAUCAAGUCUUGCAUCACUUCUCAACCGGAGUGCUUCUCGAAGUUGUUCUUCCUUGUCCCUCUUGUCUAACGGAGUGUUUUCAACUUCGUUCAUCUCCGUUGUAUUCUUUUCUCGAAAUGGCUUAACCUUUUUCAAGGUUCCUUAGUUUCACUCAUUGGUCAAAGAAGCAACUUAGUUUUUACCGCUUAUCUUCCUUUUUCCGUUGUCCCUCCGGUGCCAUUCUAGAUCUCGGGACGAGAUCCUCUCGUAGUGGUGGAGUGUUGUAAUGCCCUGAGACCGUUGCGCCAGGUGUCUUCCAGUUAUUCGUCGUUGUUGCAAUGUCAUUUGCUUGCGUGUUGUAUCUUGGCAUGUCAUCAUGUGCAUUGCAUCAUCAUGUUUUCGAAACUUGCAUCCGUCCGGGUUCCCCCAGUUCCGUUCGUUGUCCGUUCUGAGCCCAGACACAAUUGCACGCGCCCGCGGCACGUCCGAGAUAUUAUUUUAUAAGUUGCCGGAAAAUGUUCUCGGAAUGGGAUGAAAGUUGGCGUGUGGUCUUAUUAUAGUGUAGAUAGACCGCCUGUCAAGUUUCAUCGCAUUCGGAGUUCGUUUGACGCCCCAACGAUUAACUAUAGCGACAAUAUAGUCGGUCAAACGUCGGACGUUUUCGGUCUCCGGAAACAGUCGCCGGGCAUCCCUCUCUUCUCUUCUCUCAGCUCGAGACCGUCUACACAGCUCUCUACCUACCGCCAGUUCCAACCUAACCUCUCUCUUCAGCCCGCACCCCCCCCCCCCUCGCGCGCGUCCGAGAGUUGUCCCGAACCCGACCCGGACUGUCGCCACUGCUAUGUCCGGAUCAUCCCCAAACAUGUACAAAACGUCUCCGUUUUUCUUUCUAGGCUUCCUAACCUAGUUUUCUUGAACCGUCCAAUUUUGAUCGGAUGAUCCAAAAUACUCCCUCCUAUCUCCAUUCUAGUAUAUAUAUCAGUCAAACCCUAAAAUUUAGGAGCCUUGUCCCAUCGAUCCCUCUCGGCCGCCGCCACUAAUCCUCUUGGGAUCCCCUCACUCAAUCUCCCUCUAUCCCAUCGCCCAGCCAACCAGAGCUGCACCCCUCCCAGAUCCAUUCCACCCGCAGCCAGCCUCCUUCCCGAGCGCCUCCUCGCCUGAAACCGUCCUCGCUGCCCGGAUCCGUUCCCCAGGUCACUGGACCUCCCUGCAAGCGUCGCCGUAGGCGGCCACAGGCCCAGUGCCAUGCACCGUGGCCUCUCCUAUUGCUACCGCUGCUCUGCUCGGUCAUAGACGAUGAGCACCCGCCCGAGACAGCAGCGUCGUUGACCGUGCGUCUGGGCCGCAUCAGUGCCAAGUCACUCUUGCGCCAGCCCCUGCCUCCUCGACCUCCCGAGCUAGCCGGUCUCCGGCUUCUCGUUCACACAGAGCCGGCGAGAUGUCUAGGUCAUGGCGUCGUCCCUCUCCACCUUCUCUUUCCUUUCCUCCUCGAGCUGCUCUUCCCUGACCUUCCGCCUCGUCUCAUUUCUUUGUCACAGUGAACCAGUGCCAUGGCUACCCGGGGCAUUCUUCUACCGCGAUUCAGCUCCGUCCUCCGCGCUCGCCGAAGCCUACACCGCUGCGCGCCUGCAUCCGCGACGAGGACGACAUCGAUGGCUCCUGCUUCCUCUGCAACGCCCGUCCCCUACGUUUGACCGCGCGCCUCCUGCCUCCCGCACGCAGCAGGAGGUCCGCCGCAUCCGGCCACGCCGCUGGCAAGCCCCUGCUUCCUUGCUCGCCUGUGUCCUCCUCAUCUUAACGCAGAUCCGCGCCUCCAUCCGUUCCCUGCACUUCCUCGUCGCCGGAGUAGAAGCCCCAUCCGUCGUCGUUGCCUGACUGCGACCUCUGCCUUGACCCGCCCCUGUUUCGUCCGAGGAGGAGGACGAAACCGCUUUCGUCCAGUCGCGUUGACCGCACCCCUGCUUUGCCUCUUUCGCAGCGCCUCCUAGGCCCAGCUGCAACCUCCGCCAGCCCAAGCCGGCCUGCGGCACCGAACCAAGUCGGCCCAUCUUCUCCUCUCCUUCGACCCAUCGCUCUCGCAGCCUGCAACCAGCUCCAGCGACUGGGCCGAGGCCCAUGGUGAGCUCCCGAGUGCCCACCAGAUUCACCUGCAUCUUUUUUCCGUUCUGGUGAUUUUAACAUUAUCCAGAGACUAACUAGUUUUACAGGAAGCCCCUUAAACUUCAUGCAUAUUUUAACUCACAAACUAAGCAUCACAUGUAAAAACUUAAUAUAUGAAACUUGCUUAGAAUUUUGUCUAGUUUCAUAAUUUUCCAUUUUCAUCCAUGCUUAAAAUGUAUAAAAUGUUGUUUGGUUAAAUUUGCUCCUAUGUUAUGUUAAAAUGCUUUAUUUCAUAACUAAAUAAUCGUAGCUCCAAACCUAAUAAACUUUAUAUGUAAAUGAGGUAGAAAAUGCCUAGUUUAACAUGGUGGCAUCACUUUGCAUGUUUAACAACUCUAAAAUUAUGUUUAGGGCAGAACAGUACCAAACCUAAUAUAUGCAUAUGGGGAUUUACCGGAAUUGUUGUUUUGUUGUUCCGGCCUCAUUUAAACUUGCCUAGAUUAGAUAGUUUCAUCAUGCUUCACCUCUUGCCAUGCUAACAACAUUUAAUCUUGUUGGGUACAUAAACGAGAGAGAACUAAGUAAGUCAUGUGGUGUUUUCUUCAAUAUGCAACUCCAUUGCAUAAUGAGCUCCCCUUAAUUUGUAGGAUUGUUUGUGCACUUUGCCAUGCCAUGCCUCAUUAAACCGGACAUGCAUCAUACUUGUUUGCGCAUCGUGUCAUGCUUAUGUGGUGGUUGUUUACCAUGUUGUUUGCUUCUUUCCGGUAUGCUUCUUUGGGUUGGUACCGAUAACGUCGCGUUUGUGAGGACCCGUUCGACUACGCCCGUUUGUCUUCUUCAUGGACUCGUUCUUCUUCCUUGCGGGAUUUCAGGCAAGAUGACCAUACCCUCGAAAUCACUUCUAUCUUUGCUUGCUAGUUGCUCGCUCUUUUGCUAUGCCUAUGCUGCGAUACCUACCACUUGCUUAUCAUGCCUCCCAUAUUGUUGAACCAAGCCUCUAACCCACCUUGUCCUAGCAAACCGUUGUUUGGCUAUGUUACCGCUUUGCUUAGCCCCUCUUAUAGCGUUGUUAGUUGCAGGUGAAGAUUGGAGUUUGUUCCAUGUUGGAACAUGGAUAUUUUGUUGGGAUAUCACAAUAUCUCUUAUUUAAUUAAUGCAUCUAUAUACUUGGUAAAGGGUGGAAGGCUCGGCCUUAUGCCUGGUGUUUUGUUCCACUCUUGCCGCCCUAGUUUGCGUUCCUUACGCGGUUGGGUUAUAAUGGGAACCCCUUGACAGUUCGCCUUGAAUAAAACUCCUCCAGCAAUGCCCAGCCUUGGUUUUACCUUUUGCCACCUAGCCUUUUCUUUCCCUUGGGUUCUGUAGACUCAAGGGUCAUCAUUAUUUUAACCCCCCGGGCUAGUGCUCCUCUGAGUGUUGGUCCAAGAUAGAGCCCCUUGCAGCGCCACCUUGGGAAACUCGAGGGCUGGUUUUAGUUGUACGGACUGCUCAUCUGAGUGUGCCCUGAGAAUGAGAUAUGUGCAGCUCCUAUCGGGAUUUGUCGGCACAUUCGGGCGGUGUUGCUGGGCUUGUUUUACCAUUGUCGAGGAUGUUUUGUAACCGGGAUUCCGAGCCUGUUCGGGUCUUCCCGCUAGAAGGAAUAUCCUUCGUUGACUGUGAGAGCUUGUGAUGGGCUAAGUUGGGACACCCCUGUAGGGAUUUGAACUUUUGAAAGCCGUGCCCACGGUUAUGGGCAGAUGGGAAUUUGUUAACGUCUGAUUGUAGAAAACCUGAAGUUGACCUUAAUUAAAAUGCAUCAACCGCAUGUGUAACCGUGAUGGUCUCUUUCCGGCGGAGUCCGGAAAGUGAACACGGUGUUGGAGUUAUGUUUGACGUAGGUUUCUCUAGGAUCACUUCUUGAUCAUAGUUUCUCGAUCGUGCUUUGCCUUCUCUUCUCGCUCUCAUUUGCGUAUGUUAGCCACCAUAUAUGCUAGUCGCUUGCUGCAGCUCCACCUCAUACUUUUACCUUACCCAUAAGCUUAAAUAGUCUUGAUCACGAGGGUGUGAGAUUGCUGAGUCCCCGUGACUCACAGAUACUUCCAAAAUCAGCUUGCAGGUGCCGAUGAGUCCGUGCAGGUGACGCCACUGAGCUCAGUAGGAGCUCGAUGAAGAUCUUGUCCUUUGUGUUGUUCCAUUUCCAGUUGAUCAGUAGUGGAGCCCAGUUGGGGUCGAUCGGGGGACCUUGUCGCUUUUGGGGUUCUUCUUUUAUUUUGGUUCCCUAGUCGGACCUUGAUUGUAUCUGGAUGGUGUAAUGCUUUAUUCAUGUAAUUGUGUGAAGUGGCGAUUGUAAGCCAACUAUAUAUCUUUUCCCUUAUGUAUUACAUGGGUUGUGUGAAGAUUACCUCACUUGCGGCAUUGCUUUCAAUGCGGUUAUGCCUCUAAGUCGUGCUUUGACACGUGGGAGAUAUAGCCGCAUCGAGGGCGUUAUACCCACGGUAAUACUUAUGCUAUCUUGAGAGAAGCCACUAGUGAAACCUAUGGCCUCCGGGUCUAUUCUCCAUCAUACAAGUUUUCCAUCUACUUUAUUUUGCAAUCUUUACUUUCAAACUAUAUCAUAAAAAUACCAAAAAUAUUUAUCUUAUUAUUAUUAUCUUUAUCAGAUCUCACUCUUGCAAGUGGCCGUGAAGGGAUUGACAACCCCUUUAUCGCGUUGGUUGCGAGGUUCUUAUUUGUGUGUGUAGGUACGAGGUGACUCGCGCGUGGUCUCCUACUGUAUUGAUACCUUGGUUCUCAAAAACUAAGGGAAAUACUUACACUACUUUACUGCAUCACCCUUUUCUCUUCAAGGGAAAACCAACGCAGUGCUCAAGAGGUAGCACCCGCUUAAUUUAUACAUGCAAACGUAUGCGCAUGCAGGUAUCACUGGAUCUUGUUAAUUAUUAAAAUUGAUGAAGGAACAGUUGAAGUACUGGACUGACUACUUAAAGAACCUAAAGACUACUCAAUCGUGAAGGGGAUAUGCAACAGGUAAUUUCAAUCAUUAUUGACCUAUAUGUCCACCUCUUCAGUUCGUCAUUUCCUGAUAUUAACUAAUUAAUAACUCCUUUAUUCAUUUUCUUUGCCGGCGGCAGGGCUUGGCAAAAGUUCAUCAAAGCGGUUACAGGCCCAUUCAAAGAAAAGCUGCAUUGGUUUCAACCCAAGGUAACUAAUUUUAAGUACUACUAGCUAGCUACCAUCUCUUUAAUUCUAGUUUCAAUACCAUUAAUUAUCAUGCUUGAUUAAUUAGUAUCUGAUUGAAUUCUAUUCUCGUAAAGGCCAUGAAGCAGGCGUCGGGGACUAGUUUAUGUGCAUACUACAUUUGCUAGAACAUUCGCAUGAUGGCGUCCGAAAGGACCAGAAAUGCUAGACAGCGAUGAGUACGUUUGCCAGAACACUAUUCACAAUUUUUACAUCAUUAUCGGUAUCUAAUCACACAACUAAUACAUGCAUAUUAAUCUCCUUCUUAAAAAUUCUCUGAGGUGCAAGAGAAGCUCCUACCAAUGGAGCGUGUACGAGCAAUUGGAGACGAAAUAGCGGGAUUUUUGCUCGACCAUGUCAUAGAUCCCACAGGAGAAUUCCAUUACCCGCUACUGCCGCUAUCGUAGUAAUGCCUCCAUUUAGGAGAAAUUGUAUAUACCAAAUUGUAUAUAUAUAUACAUGUGUAUGUGUGAAUGAUGGUGCGAGACAUUCGAUGAUAUAUAUAUAUGAUCGGUUCUACGAGAAAUUCUAUUUAUAUAUAUGCAUAACGUGUACAAUAUGUAGUAUCGUAAAAUACCAGCAAAUGAAAAAUAAUUAAAUGGAAAACACAAAAUUAAAGGAAAAAGAAAUCAUGAAUCCAAAACCCCCCAAAACUUUUAGUACCGCUUGGUGUUACCAACAGGUACUAAAGGUCUCCCCGCCCCCAGCGCUGGCUCGUGCCACGUGAUGGUCCUUUAGCGGCGGUUCAUGCUGAAUCAGUACUAAGGAGGGGGGCUUUAGUUCCCUCCCUUUAGUGCCGGUUGCAGGACCGGCAAUAAAGGGCCUUACGAACCGAUCCUAUAGCCUGGUUCUGCAUUAGUGUUACAUUAAAAAUAUAACAUGAAUAAUUUAUUUAUUUUUACAAUGGCUACUUGUAAGUCGCCUAAAAAUAGUUGUUGGGUCAGUCCAUUUUGGAAGGAAGGAAGGAAGAAGUAGUUGUUGGCUCGCUAGAGAAGCCCUAUGGGUCUAUCUUAGGGUGGCAGGCGACCUCAUUAUCUAUCUUAGGGGUGUUAGGGUGGGGCUGUAAGUUUGACGGGAAAAAAAUGGUUCAUGCCCGGGGUUAGAGUUAUGGCGGCGGNNNNNNNNNNNNNNNNNNNNNNNNNNNNNNNNNNNNNNNNNNNNNNNNNNNNNNNNNNNNNNNNNNNNNNNNNNNNNNNNNNNNNNNNNNNNNNNNNNNNNNNNNNNNNNNNNNNNNNNNNNNNNNNNNNNNNNNNNNNNNNNNNNNNNNNNNNNNNNNNNNNNNNNNNNNNNNNNNNNNNNNNNNNNNNNNNNNNNNNNNNNNNNNNNNNNNNNNNNNNNNNNNNNNNNNNNNNNNNNNNNNNNNNNNNNNNNNNNNNNNNNNNNNNNNNNNNNNNNNNNNNNNNNNNNNNNNNNNNNNNNNNNNNNNNNNNNNNNNNNNNNNNNNNNNNNNNNNNNNNNNNNNNNNNNNNNNNNNNNNNNNNNNNNNNNNNNNNNNNNNNNNNNNNNNNNNNNNNNNNNNNNNNNNNNNNNGGCGUUGGCUCGACGGUUCGAAGGAAGAAGACGGCAGUCUGGAGGUUGAAGACGCGCAUCUGGCCCUUACUUUCCAGUAGACCGCUGGAGACCAAUCGACUGACCAAAAUUAAAUUUACAGUCGAUUGGUUUCUAGUUAGUCCCUUAUCUUAUCGUACAAAUGUGAGAAUCUUUGUUAGUAAAUUGAUGUUCACAAAUAUGCAUGAUACUAAAUCUCAAUUUUGUUUAUUAUUUCAAAAUCCAUAGAAGAUAUAUAUUUGCUGUAUAAAUAGAGCUGAGAUCAAAUAUUGCAAUAAUCAGUGCCUUCAAUCUCACGCUGUAUAGCUGCCAUUUGUAACUUGAUUAAGAAGUGUUCAAACUUCAGACUACGUGUAGUGACAAGAAAAAUAUAUAUACCAUGCACGGGACAUCCCGUGCAUGCAUUGGCUGUUGAUCAUGCAUGAUAAAGAUUCGUGUUCAUGCAUGUCAAAUGGGUCACAUGAACCGGUCACUUUUUUCACACUGUUAACCUUUUUUUCAUGUGUUCUCUCUCCUCUCACCAACCCAUGCUUUUCCCAUUGAUUUAAUGUUAGAAUCCAUUUUAGCUUUUGAACUGAAAAUUUGAUUUACAAUUCAUUUGCAUAUUUGUGUUCCUUAAGUUAGGACUUCAAAAUAAGACCACUCUUGAAUAUAUUUGUAAAAAAAAAUCAUAAAUACUUAAAAGUGCAGCUGCACUUUUUCGGGCUCCUGAGCGCAUGCUCAUGGACCGAACGAUGCAACAGACUCAUUCCAUAUUUGAUAAACUGUCCACCCACUUAUUCUAUAUGUGAAAAGAUUCUUCAACUAUAGUGCGUUGAUUUUUCUUCACAUCGUCCGACCAACCCAGCGAUGACGUAACGUGCAUUAAUUCUGGUACAAGAAAAUUCAAAAAACUAUAACUUUCACACUGCAUGUCGGAUUGAUGAUCCGUUUUCACCGUUGAGUUCCUUGUAACGAGCUCUUCAAAACUAGAUCCAUAUGAAUAUGUUUUGAUGAUUUUUUUAAAAGCAACUUUGACGCUAGAUGAGGCAAGCUUAGUGCUAAACAUGAGCAACUUUGAUGCUAAAAGAAUUGCACCAUGUGUAUGUGAAUUCGCCUAGUAGCCUCCUACUUAGUUGUGUGCAAUAGGUAAUAGGUGGUUACAUAGUCCGUUGCCUAUCAUACUGUGAAAGUUGCUCACCCUAAAGUAGUAAGUUGUCUAACAUGGUUUCUUAGUUGUCUACCUCAAAAACCAAGUUGCAUACAUCGCUACGAAGCUUCCUACGGGUGAUCCGCAAUUGCCUAAAAUACUAUGAAAGUUGUCCAUCAGGGGACCUAAGUUGCCAAUGCUACUGAGCGCACGGUUGUUGGCUAGUCAGGUCGCGGGAGUUAGAUGAGAAGUUGCAUAUGGGGUUAUCAGAAGUUUCAUAGAGGGGCGGAUCAGACAAUUGCCUACAAACCUACACAAAUUCUUGAUUUUUUGUCGAGUUGCCUACAAAAAUCAUUGAAAUCUUUAGAUAUAAUGAUAGAAAACACACAUGAGUUGGCUAGUCAGGUCGUGACUAGCUUUUCAAAACUAAACUCCACAUGGAUAUAUUUCUUUAAUAUUUUUAAAAGCAACUUUUAUGCUAGAUGAGGCAACUUUAGUGCUAAACAGAAGCAACUUCGCUCCAUUAAAAAUAACUAAUUAGCAACAAUAAGCAUCUAACUAAUGAUACAAAACAACUUCGAAAAAGUGGUAGAUAAUAUCACAACUUUCCUUCUACAGGAGGCAACUUUAGUGCUAAAGCAGGCAGCUUCACUACUUUCUGUGUCCUAGUUAAUUUUGUUCAAUUUUCUCCUAACUUCCUCACUAGUACCUCUAAGUUGCCUACUGUUCACGCUAGUAUGUCGUUGUUUGUAAAUUGCCUAUAAUACUAUGAAGUCAUCUACCGGUGAUCCUCUUAUGUCUACUAUUGCUAGUUAUGGCAAGCAACAUGAUGGGGAAUCUUGGCCACUUCAGAGUGUUUGUAUGCAAGUUAGAAAACAAUGAUAAAUAACUUCAUAGUAUUGUAGGCAACUAUUUUGAAAAGUUAGGCAAUUGUUCAGCAAUUGUAGGCAACUAAUUAGCAAUAGCAGGCAACUAUACAUCAUUGGCAGGCAAUCUAUAGCAUGUAUAGGCACUUGAACAUCAAGUGUAGGAACUGAUCAUCAACAAUAAGCAAUUGAGAAGUCAUGAUACGCAAGUUGGGAUAAUGUUAGCAAAAUUCACAAAUACACACAGUGCAGUGAAAUUGCUUUGUAUGUAGCACUAAAGUUGCUUAUAUUUUGUGUGUGUUUUCUCAUUUUUUACGCAAACCAACCUAAUAGUCAGUCCUAUUAGGCCGAAAAGAAAGUUGCUUCCCUAUAGCACUAUAGUUGCCUUCAUUGUACCCAAAGUUGCCCUUGAAAAAAAGUUUGACGAAACCUACUUAUAUAGGAUCUAGUUUUGAAGAACUCGUCGUGAGAAACCUGACGUUGAAAAGGAACUGAAUUUCGAUGCUUGAAUCAAAAGUUAUGGUUUUACAACUUUUUGAACCCCUAAAUAAAUGCACGUGGGACAUGAUUUAGGCUGAUUUCAUUGAUAGCCAUGUGCGUACGGGGUUGUGGCCAAACAAUUUUCUUUUCUAGUGUAGACAAUUAGACACAAGGACAUAUAAUUACUAUAUACGGUUGUGCGCUCUAGGCAACAAACGAGCGCCACGGCGCUCUCUAGCCACGUCCUAUUUUUAAGUAAUAUAUUCAAUAUUGGUCUUGUUUUGAAUAUCUCGUCGGAAUAAACACAUUUGUCCAAAUAAAAUGUAAAUCAAACUUUUGUUUCGCAAGAUAUCAGGCAUCUAAUUUGUUUGCAUAGAAAGAAAUAAGAUGACAUAUUUCUGGGAUGGAGUUAUAGAGAGAGGUGGGGCAUGCAUGGACCUGAGAUUUUUUUUUUGAAACUAUGAUGAUUUUUAUAGCAAAUUCGAAAACUAUACACCCUGAUGUAUAAAAAUCAAAAGUAUCACUCCGUCAGCCUACCGUUGGCCGAAGAGGGACUUUUCGGCCAAUUUGGCCGAAGAGGAACUUUUUGGCCAACUAUUGGCCAAAGAGUACUUUUCGGCCAACCGUUGGCCAAAAAGUCCUUCUUUGGCCAACAAUAGGCCGAAAAGUGGUCUUCGGCCAGCACAUGCUCUCCUGUUUUAGAAAAUUCAUAUCAAUUAGGAUUUUUAAUAUUUUAAUUUGAUUCUUUUUGCAUUAGAAUAGAAAUUUUAUGAAGUUUCUGUAGAUAUCAAGUUUGACUAGAUUUGAAACAUUGAAUUUGAAUUUUCAAGAAUUUGCUCAAAUCACUAGAUUGCCUAUAAUUUGAGCUAGGAGUAUUUUUUAUAUGAUUCUUUUAAUUUGAGCUAUUUCUUUUAAUUUUAAUUGCUUUAAAUUGUUUUCUUUAGUUUUUUUGACAUAUUCUUUUAGUUUCUGUUAAGUUAACAGUAGAUAUUUUAUUUGUAGUAUUUUUUGUAUUUUAUUUCUUUUAUCCUUCAUUUUCUUUUCCGCCGUUCUUUCCCUCCAUUUUCUCCCGCUAUUUUCUUUUAUGCCAUUCUUUGCCGCCAUUUUCUCCCGCCAUUCUUUGCCGCCAUUUGCUCCUGACAUUUUCUUUCCCAUCAUUUUAUUUGCCGCCAUUCUCUCCUUCCAUUUUCUCCCGCCAUUCUGUCCCGCCAUUUUCUUUCCCGCCAUUUUCUUUCCCGCCAUUCUCCCCCGCCAUUUUGUUUCCCUCCAUUCUCUCCCGUCAUCUUCUUUCCCGCCAUGUUCUUUCUCGCCAUUUUCUCUUCUCAACUUAUAAAAUGAGCCUCACGGUGUCCAUGACCGUAGAUAACAUUGUCUGACACGGUAUGUGUCUCCUGCGUCGGUGCUGGUGGUGGAGUGUGCAACACUGUUUGAGAGAAGUCAUAAGUGUUUGCAGCUUCGUCAUCAUCAUCGGAGAGUGUUUCACAUUUAUGACUUCUCUUAGAGAGUGUUUCACACUUCACAUGAAGGCAUCAUCGUCAUCCUCCGCCGAUGCAGCACUCUUGCCCUUUGAUGAUGCGGCACUAUUGCCCUUUGACGAUGCGGUACUCUUGCCCUUGGUGCUCAGCAUGAAAAUAUCAUCUUCAUCCUCGCUGUCUUGGGUCAAUAAAUAAGUAUGUUCUGCUGCAGCCUUUAGGAAUGCUUCACCCUUAUGUUGUUGCUUAUUCCAUCUUCCAUGCAACCUGAGAAGUUCUUUUCGUAUCUCCUCAAAGGUCCUUGCAGGCUACCCGCACCUACUUAAUGUGUGAGCCAACUCAUUCAGUAAGGUGUCACUACUGAGGAGUUCGUCCCAUGGAACUAUCCUAUUGUCUAUCGUGAAAUUGGUGUCUAAACUCAAAAGACAUUUGAACAUACUAGGGUGAAAACAACUAUGAUCAAAAGGAUAACCGGACAUGUUGACGAGACUACACUAGCCUCCUUAGUGUGGCGGAAGAGAAUGGCGGGAAAGAAAAUGGCGAGAGAAAAUGGCAGCAGAGAAAAUGACGGGAAAGAAAAUGGAGGGAAAAAGAUUGCGGGAAAGUAUAGUUUUUUCAUGUAUAAAACGGCAAUGGUUGUACAGGAUUUAUAAGGCACUUUUAAAUAUAAACUCCUAUCAAGCUCAAAGUUUUCUAGUAGGAUAAAAGAAAUAAAAUACAAAAAAUACUACAAAUAAAAUAGCUACUGAUAAAUUAACAGAAACUAAAAGAAUAUGUCAAAAAAGCUAAAGAAAACAAUUUAGAGUAAUUAAAAUUAAAAGAAAUAGCACAGAACCUAUAAAACACUAAAACGGAAUUGUUUUCAUAAAAAUCUAAUUUUAAAUAAUCCUAAAAUUUGCCAAUUAAUUACUACUGAUAAACAAAGUCACAAAGAACCACUAGCAAAAAAGAAUCAUCUAAAAAAUACCCCUAGCUCAAAUUAUAGGCAAUCUAGUGAUUUGAGAAAAUUCAUGAAAAUUCAAAUUCAAAUUCUCAAAUCUAGUCAAAAUUGAUAUUUACAGAAACUUCAUAAAAUUUAUAAUCUAAUGCAAAAAGAAUCAAAUUAAAAUACUAAAAAUCCUAAUUGAUAUGAAUUUCUUAAAACAGAAGAGCAGGUGUUGACCGAAGACCACUUUUUGGCCAACGGUUGGCCGAAAAGUUCUCUUUGGCCAAUGGUUCCCUCUUCGGCCAACGGUAGACCGAAAAGUCCCUCUUCAGCCAACAGGAGGCCAACAGGGCGAUACUUUUGAUUUUUAUGCAUUAAGGUGUAUAGUUUCGAAUUUGCUAUAAAAAUUAUCAUAGUUUCAAAAAAAAAAUCCUGGACCUGACACUACAAAUGGUUCUGACACACAACCUGACCACGGCGCAGAACAUGCACGGGAUAACUCGUGCAUGGCAGAUGAUCCGCUCUCGUGUUGUCAAACUGACUAACCUGGAUGGAGCAAGCAAGCUUAACGAAUACGAACAGUAUAAAAAAAUGUGUGAGAGGAAAUACGAACAGUACAAUAACUAGCCAGCGUGCUAGGACUAUGCCGUGGUCCUAGCCGGUGGUGGGACCACCACCUCGACGGCUUCCGGCCGACGAUCCUGCUGGCCAUGCCGAUCAGCAUGCCUAUGGAUAUCCAGCUCUGUGCCGGCCCACACCUCCAUGUCCUCGUCGGUGUCGGUGGUCGCCGGGCUGUGGUGGUGGUGGUGGUGGUGGUGCGCCACGCAGCCGUCCUUGAGGCACCGCACCAGGGCACAGAUGAGCAGCCUCACCGCGACGACGGCUGCGACGACGAUGAGCACAGCGAGGAAGUAGUCCAGCGCCGUCCGGUGGAUGUGCUGGCACUCGGCGACGCCCAUGCACACCAUUGUCAGGCGCAGUUCAUGCAGUCAUGCAUAGCAGCUCGCUGCGAUCGAGCUGGCUAUAUAAGAUAAGAUAAGUUGAGAGAGAGAAGGGAUUCCUUGCUUGGCUUGGGGCAGCGGAGAGGAUGGAGAUGGUUGUGCCGAGCUGUGCCUUCCUUUGGGCUUCUUUUUUAUUUUUGGAAGAUCCUUGGAGCUUUUGGAAUGUGGUUGCAUAUCCGGACGGUGACUGAUCAAUGGCUUUUUCUUCAAAGUGCUCGUGGAGUGGGCUCAGGUGCAGCUUGAGCUGCAAGGGACUGCGACAUUGGCGAUGCAGCUCCAGAGCUGAGCAAUGUAACAAGUACAGUGUCUGAAAGUUGAUCUAAUCCAACCAAGAUUUGCCGGUUUAUAUAUACGAUAAAGCGGUUGCAAUUGUAAGAGCGCGAGAAAACUAGCCUGUUCAUAGGAAGCGAAAUCACUGGAAGGUUUUCUCUGGCAUCUAACAUUCAUCUAUACAGACGCUUAAACUCUGGCAAAGUAUCGAAAACCACCUAGUGAAGGCAAUACCACCACCACCCUAUCCAUACCAUUCCUUGGGCGCUUGUUGAAAAUGACACUUCCACAAAUUGCUAAUCCAGAGUUAUGUGAAAACCUUGAUCAUCAUAUUUGUACCAAAGAAAGCACCGGUGAAGCUUGACGAAUCCCGCAGCACCAAACUUAUGCGCCCGAAGCAACAGAUGAGCCUCUGAGCAAGAGGCAGGCGUUAAUCUCAUUCCAUCAUUUGUAGUAAACUUCAAUUGGGCGGUCAAAACCAGCGACGGAUCCGACCAAUCUGUUGGUAAUCACCUCUGCUGACCUGAAUC